AAUAGAUCAAUAUCAAUUCUUCCUGGGUAUAUUCGAGCACUUCCCCUUUGAGCUCUUUGCGGCCCGUGGAGUUCAAAUACCGCGGUACAGGUCACUCAUGCUUGGCUUGUGGACCCAUUUGAAAUCCACAAAUCUACCCUAACGCUAGGCGAGUUGUUAAAAAUUUAUUUUAAAGCACAUUGAUAUUUAAGAAUCGUUUUCGAUUGUGAUAGAUGAAAAAGAACGACUCCUCACACCUUAAUAACUUCUGGUAGGGAAAGAGAUCUGUAGCAAAUGCUUUGAGUCUCUGUGCGUGCCUUUCACUACAUCCUAUCUCUUUUUCGAUCCACUCUUUCCUUGUACACGACGUAUCACCCCUCUGGCGAAAACGGGAUCUCGAGAGCGUGAUCCAUUGUCCAAGCCGAAAUGAAUGACGUAAGAUUUCAGUCUUCAAACUUCCCAGCCUUUUGAUUCCCCUCUUUAUCAAGUCUGCAAUGGUGUCCCAGUCCUCAGUCGGCUCGAUGUUUGUGAUUCCUGCACUGUCUUGUUCGACCUGG
This is a long non-coding RNA of Nematostella vectensis (starlet sea anemone), 536 nucleotides long. RefSeq lists it as uncharacterized. The record is from RefSeq and is a predicted model, not a curated record. NCBI's taxonomy places the organism in Eukaryota, Metazoa, Cnidaria, Anthozoa, Actiniaria, Edwardsiidae. The transcript is spliced from 2 exons.